UCGAUGAAGUACGCAGCGAAAUGCGAUACGUAAUGCGAAUUGCAAGACCUCGUGAAUCAUUAAGAUUUUGAACGCACAUUGCGCUUUCGGGUUUUCCCGAUAGCAUGCUUGUCUGAGUGUCUGUGAACCCCACUCAGUGUUCUGUUGGUCGAGGUAGAGCUAACAGAGCCAUCUGUCAUAGCAAUCUCGACGAACUGGAUAGCUGGACUUUGGUGGUGUCCCGCCGAACUUCGGUACGGUACGGGGUCUCCGCUUGAAUGGAAAAGACAACAGAUCAGGACGUGUUGCCCUCUCAUUGUUGACAACUUGCAACGAAGCAAGUGUUGCGCUGCAACGAGACCAUCGUCUAUCUCCGGUAGCACCACCUAGGUGUUGUGAGGAGUUGUGGCGGCUGGUUCUUGUGACAGAGUGAUGCUGUUGCUGAUGUCAACUAGGAGGAGGUGACAAACGCUUGUACCCUGCUUUUGCUUUUGCUAGCAAGGAGCACAAGCGCUUUUGAAUUCCAGAUCUCAGCUUAAGCAAGAGGACCCGCCGAAUUUAAGCAUAUAAUUAAGCGGAGGAAAAGAAACUAACCAGGAUUCCCUCAGUAAGGGCGACUGAAGCGGGAAGAGCUCAGGAUGUGAAUCUGCGCUCGUGCGCCGAAUUGGGUCCAAUCUGCGUC
RNAcentral lists this ribosomal RNA (661 nucleotides) under Nitzschia palea. RNAcentral's name for it is "eukaryotic LSU rRNA". The stretch from base 505 to 661 matches the Rfam family "Eukaryotic large subunit ribosomal RNA", at positions 1 to 160 of the family's 3401-position model. Lineage: Eukaryota; Bacillariophyta; Bacillariophyceae; Bacillariales; Bacillariaceae. The record is from RNAcentral.